AUAUACGGUUCAUGCAUAACACGAGAAUUUUUAAGAGUCUGCCACCAAUGAAUAGAUUUCGAAAUUUCAUACUUUUUGGUUGUGUCAAUAGUUGCUGAUCGAGAGUACAUACAAAUAUACAAAGUUUAAAAACGGUACGACUUCGUACAAGGUAAUUUUAACAAAAUUAAAUUUUCAAGUGAUAUUGAUUUCGAUGUUUAAUGAACCAACAUUUAAUACGAAUUUUAUCAGUUAUUAUUUACUUCCCUAAUUCCCUGUU
Non-coding RNA from Paramuricea clavata, 259 nucleotides. NCBI's taxonomy places the organism in Eukaryota, Metazoa, Cnidaria, Anthozoa, Malacalcyonacea, Plexauridae. The record is from the annotation of a GenBank genome assembly.